Danio rerio (zebrafish) is the source of this 71-nucleotide non-coding RNA. Lineage: Eukaryota; Metazoa; Chordata; Actinopteri; Cypriniformes; Danionidae. The record is from Rfam.
GCAUUGUUGUUUUAGUGGUAGAAUUCUCGCCUGCCACGCGGGAGACCCGGGUCCGAUUCCCGGCCAAUGCA